GAAGGGUGCUGAAAUUACAGGAAUUGGACCCAUGAUCUCACACUUUCGAGGCAGGCGCUGUGCCACUGAGCUAUGUCCCUGGCAAUCCUGAAGGAAACAAUGGAGAAUGAAACCAGAAAAACUGAACUGGAAACAGAGUACAAAGACCCAUCAAACUGUGGCAAAAUAUUUUAGUGUCUUUGAGGUCCCUGGUUUACAUUGAGGAGUUACCAAUAGUAUAAUAUUAUAUGAACUGUAUUUGGUAGAAUAACUCAUGAAACUUCAGAAAUAAAUAGAAAAGAGUAAAAACAAUAGGGGGAUUAUUAUAAUAAAAAAAGAAGACCUGAACUUAAACAAGAAAGAAGAGAAAAGUUGACUAGGCAAAUAUUUUGUGGGUAAAAUAAAUAGGAUUUGAUGCUGACCUGUUGAGGAGGGAGACAUUUCCUAGAAUAGCUCUCAUAUUUAUACUGGUGUUAUCUUCUUAUUCAGUGGACUAACAGUGGUGCCAAGAAUGAGACAGAGAACUCAGGAAUUCAUGUAUGCUUGUAUGAGGGGUGGAUUUAGUGUUAGAAUCAUACUGUAUAAAAUGCCUGCUGAACAUCAAAGAUGUCCAAUGGACAUUUAAAGAGUAAUUCUGAAGGCGAAGAGGAAGGGAGAGAAGGAGAGAGAGAGAGAGAGAGAUACAAGGGGUGAUCAAAUUAUACAGUGAAUAUUUAAACUUAAAAAUAUUGAUUACAAUAAAAGAUGCACUGUCAUUAACCUGCCUCAAAAUAGUCCCCCUUGCUUUGAAAACACUAAGCCUAUCAGUUAGCCCAUCCACUUAUCCUACCCUACACUUUCUGAAGCAGUUCUGGCAGUCCUCUUUUGUGAGUGUCUUUACAAGGUAUGAUCAAAAAUACAGUAAAUUCCACUACUGAGUGCCAUGCAAAGAAAAGGCAGGUCUGUAAAACCACUACUGUGUGUCCUCAUCCACCAUUCUAAAUGGAUCUGGCACCAUACAACCUCUGUCUCUUCUCCAAAGUCAAAAUGACCAUGAAAGGUAAGUGUUUUGGAUCAGUUCAGAACAUUGAGGCAGCCACAACAGAGCAACUAAAGACACUCAUGGAAGAGGACCCCCAGAACUUCUUUAGUGUCAUGAACAAGGCAGUUAAUGUAUUUGAAGCAAGAGGAAGUCUUUUGAGGGGGAUUAACAGCAAUGUGUCUUUUACUGGAACAAAUUUUAUUUAAACAUUCACCCUACAUCUACAUUAAACUGUAUGUACUUGGGGUCAUUAAUAUUUGUUAACUGUAUGUAUGUUAUCCAAAAUGCACAUGUCUGGCAUUGUUUUGGGUUUCAAUUUUUUUCAGAUUUUGGAAUUUUUUUUACAUAUAUAUAAUGAAACACCAUGAGAUUAUGGGUCCCAAAUUAUCAACAUGAAAUUCACAUACAUACAUAGACUGAAGAUAAUUUUUUAUAUUUUUAAUAACUGUAUGCACAAAACAAAGUUUGCUUCUGGCAGCUGAUGGCGCUGAGAGGGCCUUUUUCUCUAGGGGAUGCUGAAUCAAUAAUUGCGUGUUGUGUUCCCGUGUUUUGACUUCAAGCCAUCAUGUGAAGUCAGGUGUGGGAUUUUCUGCUUGUGGCAUCGUGUCAACACCAAAAAGUUUCAGAUUUUGGAACAUUUCAGAUUUCAGAUUUUUGGAUAAGGGACUCUUCACGCAUUGCUGGUAAGUAAUUGUAAUUCACAUAACAGACAGAGGAAAGAAGCCAGAUGGUCAUCUAGACAAGUAUUACCCGGUGGCUUUACCUUGUAGUGCCACAACAGAUCAGCACUUUGCUUCUGGCUUUGGAAUACCAGAAAAUUUGCUCCUUCAUAGAUUUUGAAACUCUUCAGAAUAAAUAAUUUCACUAUGCUAGGUACUUGCAUCUUUUCUUUAAGGGAUAUCCCCCCUCUCUUAAAAAGCCUCUCUAUUGUAAGUAAUUUUUUUUUUAAUUACACACUAAGCACUGUUUUUUAGGAGGUGCUAAAAAUUUUUGCAAAGAAAGAAUACAAACCAUUUACUGUUUUUCACAACUAUUUAAAACAAAACCGGAUAAAACUGGACCUAUCCUGGAUGAACUAAGACUGUGAUUCUCCAGUGUAGCUACCGGAUUGUCUCUGUGGUGCAGUCAGAUCUCAGCAGAACGUACUGUGGAGACCCUGACCUGCACACAAGUGCACCGUCUCCCUCCACUUCCACGAACACUCUCAUCAAAAAUUCAGUGUUCAGGUCUUCACUUUGCGGGGCUUCCUUCUCCACAGUUGUGCUGGAGUGACCUUAGACCAAGUUGUGAAUCAGCUGUGCUCAUCUCUUCUCAACUUUCUGUUUGGUUAUGUCAUGUUGAUAGCUUGAAAUAGGCCACAGCAGGUGUAUGUGCACCACAAGUAUCAGCAAGUAUGUACUGCAAAGUACAGCCUCCCCUCUUUCCGAUCCCUCACCUGUCAAACAUUCACCUGCCAAGCCCUCUUUCCCUUGUUUCCCUCCUCCGUCUCUCUUCCCCCUUCUAUCUUUCUCUCUCCAAACUCAAACUUGUACCUCUGUGUCCACCGAUUUGAUCAUAUAUCCUGUCUGGGAUCAGUUUUUCUUUGGGCAAUAUUACUAGCAACUUGAUUACAAAGAUGUUUUACUCUUUUUGUGUUUGUACCAGGCGAACUUCUGUCUUUUAUUAAAGGAGUUCUGCGGGUUUCCUAUAUUUUUUUUCUGAACGAGGAUGAGAGAAUUUCUUUUCUAUCCAUGAUUCUCUUUGUCCACUAACUGAUGUGAUAGGAAAUCCUACUCUUUUAUCUUGUUUCUCUGCUUUGAACCCACGAGAACCUCCAUUUCCGGCAGGGCUUGCUCUGAAGACUUAAACGUUAUCUCUUAGGGUCCCAAAACCAAAGUGGAGGAGGGGAUCGAAGGCAACAGCAUUUGGAAAAUGAACACGUUCUGAACACAGCACGGAAUGAAUUUAAAUUUUUAAAUAUCUUUUAAGUCCAUUAAGUUUCACCUACUGAAAAAUUAGCUCAAAUCCACAUCCUCUUUGUAAGCCUUCCCUAAGCCAUCUAGUCAAAACCUGGCUCUUCCUUUUCUGCUUUAAAGCGAUUGUUGAAAUCACUUACCAGCCAUGCAUCACACACUAUUUUAGUUAUGCGCACACACAUCUUAUGCCCUAAGUAGAAAUGUAUCCAAUAUUUCCUUCCGUGCCACUUGAAGGUACUGACAGUGGCUGUGUCAAGAGAACUGAAAAACAGGAUAGGGAGGGAGACUUUUCAUCCCAUGUUUCACAGAUUUUGUCUCAUAUGUUAUCUUUUUAUUUUUUUAAUUUUUUGUUUGUUUGUUUUUUUCCAGUACCAGGAAUCAAACUCACGACCUUGUACUUGCCAGCUUCAAAAGUAUUUGUAGACAUUUUAGCCAAGAAAAAGAAAACAAGUUUCUACUUAGAAACCCUAUGAGCCUUCAAAUUGAGUGAAUCCUUUAUCACAAUGCAAAUGCAGACUGUGGUCAACCAAAGGCCUAUGAUCCGAGUGUGCACAACUGGCAAACGUGGAGCUGCUUGGAUUGACUCCCAGCUGAGAGGUGCCCAAGACUUGACUCCUUGUCUUCACUCCUCCCUGGGGAGCACUGAAGUGGGCGUUAUUGAUCUAAACAAAGUGACAGAGCUGAA
Chinchilla lanigera (long-tailed chinchilla) is the source of this 3640-nucleotide long non-coding RNA. RefSeq lists it as uncharacterized. Lineage: Eukaryota; Metazoa; Chordata; Mammalia; Rodentia; Chinchillidae. The transcript is spliced from 3 exons. The record is from RefSeq and is a predicted model, not a curated record.